This is an RNA transcript of Solea senegalensis (Senegalese sole), 3499 nucleotides long. It is a transcript of the gene named unk zinc finger, with no coding region annotated. The record is from RefSeq and is a predicted model, not a curated record. The transcript is spliced from 14 exons. NCBI's taxonomy places the organism in Eukaryota, Metazoa, Chordata, Actinopteri, Pleuronectiformes, Soleidae.
GUUGUAGAAUGCGGAUUUCGGAGCUAACAAGAAUAGCUAGCCACUAAGCUAAAAACAACCGUCUUGUUGUUUGGCUUCAAACUGGGGGAAAUGUCUAAAACGCACUCGCAGCCCCCGCAGUCUUCGGCAGCGACGACUACCGGGGGCACCUCUUCGUCCUCACCCGCGGGGGGUUCGACAUCUCCCGCAACCGUGUUGAACGUGCAGCCCGAGAAACCUCAGCAUUACACAUAUCUGAAGGAGUUCAGGACUGAGCAAUGCCCCCUGUUUGUGCAGCACAAAUGUACACAACACAGGCCCUUCUCCUGUUUUCACUGGCACUUCCUGAACCAGCGGCGUCGCAGGCCUAUUCGCCGGCGGGAUGGGACGUUCAACUACAGCCCAGAUGUUUACUGCACCAAAUAUGAUGAGGGAUCAGGCACCUGUCCUGAUGGAGAUGAAUGCCCAUUUCUACACCGGACAGCAGGUGACACAGAGCGCAGAUACCACCUUCGCUACUAUAAAACGGGAUCCUGUAUCCAUGAAACUGAUUCAAAAGGCCACUGCAGCAAAAAUGGCUCCCACUGUGCCUUUGCACAUGGGUCACAUGACUUGCGCAGCCCUGUCUAUGAUAUCAGAGAGGUGCAGGUGAUGGAGACUCAGGGAGGCUCAGGAGCCUCAGAGGGAGGUGGUGGAGGAGGAGACGGACAGUCAGGACAAGCAGCGAGUACUGCACUCAUAGAGAAGAUACUUAGCGAGGAACCACGUUGGCAAGAUAACAAUUAUGUGCUGUCCCACUACAAGACAGAGCUGUGUAAGAAACCGCCACGUCUAUGCCGUCAAGGUUAUGCCUGUCCGUAUUACCAUAACAGCAAAGACAGGAGACGCAGCCCGCACAAACACAAAUACAGAGCAUUGCCAUGUCCUUCAGUUAAACAGAGUGAGGAGUGGGGGGAUCCCAGUAAAUGUGAGGGAGCAGAGGGAUGUCAGUAUUGUCACACCAGAACAGAGCAGCAGUUUCACCCAGAGAUCUACAAAUCCACAAAGUGUAAUGACAUGCAGCAGUGCGGUAGCUGUCCCCGAGGGCCCUUCUGUGCCUUUGCUCAUAUUGAAAAGCCUUUUAUUCCAGAUGAACCAUCAAUCCCCUCUCCCAGCUCCCCUCCACCCUCCAGACCUCCUGACCCUCUUCCUGUUCAGGAGGCCCCUUCAAGCCCCAGUGGAAUGAGCAUGGGGCACGGGACUGGUUCCAUGUCAGACCCCUUUUCCCUGUCUGCUGGGUCAUGUGCAGCAGAGCACGGGCUGCUGGGCAAUGUUCUGUCCUUGUGUGAGGAGUUGAGCGGAGCAGUAGAGCCUCUGUCUCCGUGGGCAGGAGAAGGAGGAUACGGCAGGGCGCCGGGGUUUGAGAGGGAGGACCAGGCCAAGCAAAGGAGUUUUGCUCUAGAGCAGCGUAAUAAAGAAUUUGCAUCAGCACAAAGCAAACAGGACCUGUUAGUGUUUUUACCAGUGGGCAGCCCUUUGAGCUUGUCCUCCAGCAUCCCCUCGAGUCUGGCCGCUACUCCUCCGAGUCCUGCCCCUCUUGGACCACUGGGCUCAGGCAUCACCUCGGGCAUGAAUGCUAACGCUCUGCCUUUUUACCCCACGAGUGAGACGGUGGAAUCUGUAGUGGAAUCAGCCCUGGAUGAUCUUGACCUGAAUGAUUUUGGUGUGUCGGCACUGGAGAGGAGUUUGGAGAGCAGCUCUGCUUUGCCAAGCGUGGGAGUAAUGCUGGGAGGUAGCCAGCUUCAGAGUUCUGCCCCUGUCAACAUCCCCGGAUCCUUUAGCAGCUCUGCUCCUUUCAGCUCGCCUUCACCGUCUCCUCCAAUUAGGCCUCACACGUCUCCUUUCUUUUCCUCUCACCUGUCGCAGCAUGGCCAAUCAGAGAGCAGCUUCUUAGGUCCUUCACAUAGCUCUUUAGGUCUGAAUGGUAUGAGUACGAAUAUCUGGGAGCACUUUCCAUCCGGGCAGGGGUCCCCCGGGACACCCCCUGCCCUGCUGCCCUCUGGCCCCUGUGUAGAGGCCACCAGGCUCAAACAGGAGCUGGAGGAAGCUCACAGGACGCUGAAGCAGUGGGGUCACAGCUGGAGACACACAGCUCAGGUAGUCGUGGGCCACGGUGAAGGCCGACACGGAGGAGUCGCGAGCCCACGCGACACGGGCAGCCAUGGAGGUGGAGAGAACCAGGCAGGCUGAGGAGGAGGCGCAGAGACAGGUCACUCUCCUGCAGGAGGCGCUGGAGAGCUUAAGGAGCGGGGACAACCCGCAUCUAGCGCUGCAUCAGCUGCAGCUACUGCACAGACUGCCGAUGGAGUCGGUGCUGAGUUUGCAGGCUCAGCUUUGUAGCUGCUUACAUGCUGUAGAACAGGUUGUGUUCAGGAAACAGAGGCAGUGCUGUGUGACGUGUGGCAAGCCUGGCUCGGCGUUCCUGCCCUGCGGCCACGGACUACAGUGCGAGAGCUGCUCCGCCUCCACAGAGUGCCCGCUCUGCCCUGAACAGACCCUGGACCAACAGCGCUCUUGACGUCACAGCCCACGUCGGACCACGGCAGACCACCGACCAGUCAGUUCUGAUUCCUCAGAUACCAGCCUUGGACCUCAGCCGCCAUUAGGAGUUACAUUGAGGUAGUUUUAUAACAUGGUAACAACACUAUCACUGACCCGGUUUUGUAUUUUUAAGAUGACGUCGACUGGUCAAUGACCGACUUCCUGAGCGCCGGUCACGAAGUGAAAGCUCUUAAUGUCGAAUUUAGAAUUAACAAUUUUUUCCAGUGUUACCCGAGGAGCACCAGUACAUUUUUACGAGUAAUUGCUCUCAGCCAGCAACACUGUUUCUGAUUUGUGAAAGAAACUUAAAAGACCUGCUGUUAUUUCUUCACUAACCUUGAAACUCGGCUAUAUAUAUAUAUAUAUAUAUAUAUAUAUAUAUAUAUAUAUAUUCCUAAAUGAUAUUUUAAUGUUUCAAAAAUAUGAGCUCAUCCGAAAGAUGCAGAAAACACAUCUCUGUGCGUUUUCUCUCCAUCUGGACAGUUUCAGCUGGUUUUGCUGUCACGAAGGUCAAAGGCAUUUGUUAGUUUUUUUGGAAUUCAAAUCUCUGGGACAUUUCAAAUGUGAGUUGAAAACUCUGGUCUCCUUUCAGAAAUCGAGACAAUUGCUCAUGACAAUGAUCAUUUCUUUAGAACCUUUUCAGUCCUCCACAGUUAGGAGCUCCCUCUGACUGUGGCUAAAUAAACCACAGAUGUAAACAGCAGUAAGGUCCAACUUGAGGCUCAUUUAUGCUGAACAAAAACAGGUCCUUUGUCCGUCCUCUGCAUUCAUGUCAGCCGUAUUUGUGCACAUCUACUGAAAGCCUUCAGAUACAGACACGCUGACGAAGCGGCAGUACCACUGGCAAUCAUGGGGGGGCAGUGUAGUCCAUGUGAGACGGCCCUCAGGAGGAACACAUUUUUAAAGUAGUGAAAACGGAAGAGUAUUAGGGCCAUGUGUA